UCAGCAAGUCUCAAUAAGGUGUUGGGAUCAACAAGUCUCAAUAAGGUGUUGGUUAGUCAGGCUGAUCAGCAAGUCUCAAUAAGGUGUUGGGUUAGUCAGGCUGAUCAACAAGUCUCAAUAAGGUGUUGGGUUAGUCAGGCUGAUCAGCAAGUCUCAAUAAGGUGUUGGGUUAGUCAGACUGAUCAGCAAGUCUCAAUAAGGUGUUGGGUUAGUCAGACUGAUCAGCAAGUCUCAAUAAGGUGUUGGGUUAGUCAGACUGAUCAGCAAGUCUCAAUAAGGUGUUGGGUUAGUCAGACUGAUCAGCAAGUCUCAAUAAGGUGUUUAGUUAGUCAGGCUGAUCAACAAGUCUCAAUAAGGUGUUGGGUUAGUCAGGCUGAUCAGCAGGACUCAAUAAGGUGUUUGGUUAGUCAGGCUGAUCAGCAAGUCUCAAUAAGGUGUUGGGUUAGUCAGGCUGAUCAGCAGGACUCAAUAAGCUGUUGGGUUAGUCAGGCUGAUCAGCAAGUCUCAAUAAGGUGUUGGGUUAGUCAGGCUGAUCAGCAAGUCUCAAUAAGGUGUUGGGUUAGUCAGACUGAUCAGCAAGUCUCAAUAAGGUGUUGGGUUAGUCAGGCUGAUCAGCAAGUCUCAAGCCUCAAACACCUUAGUAAUAUAUUCUGUCCAUGGACUCAUGUUACUCAUUUUCACUGGGGUCUGCGUCCCAAAUAUCAACUCAUUCUACAUUUGACCAGGGCCCAUAUGGGGGAUAGGAAGUCAUUAAUGACCAGGGCCCAUAUGGGGGAAUAGGAAGUCAUUAAUGACCAGGGCCCAUAUGGGGGAAUAGGGUCCCAUUAGGGAUGCAUCUUUUCACUGGGACAUCCAGGGACUACAGCAGGUGUGUUCUCAGAAGGUGAAGCUUUUCACUGGGACAUCCAGGGAAUACAGCAGGUGUGUUCUACUGUUGCUUUCCUGUGGCGUUACCUCUUUAUUUUAGCCUUGGUGGGGUUUAUUUUAUGUAAAUCAAGGAGACGUGCUUUUGAUUUGUCUGUUGAGUGUAAGGGCUUGUCCCAAAUGUCACCCUAUUCCCUAUGUAGUGCGCUACCCUAUUCCCCAUGUAGUGCGCUACUAUGGGCCCUAUUCCCCAUGUAGUGCGCUACUAUGGGCCCUAUUCCCUAUGUAGUGCGCUAGUAUGGGCCCUAUUCCCCAUGUAGUGCGCUAGUAUGGGCCCUAUUCCCUAUGUAGUGCGCUACUAUGGGCCCUAUUCCCCAUGUAGUGCGCUAGUAUGGGCCCUAUUCCCUAUGUAGUGCGCUACUAUGGGCCCUAUUCCCCAUGUAGUGCGCUACUAUGGGCCCUAUUCCCCAUGUAGUGCGCUAGUAUGGGCCCUAUUCCCCAUGUAGUGCGCUAGUAUGGGCCCUAUUCCCUAUGUAGUGCGCUACCAUGGGCCCUAUUCCCUAUGUAGUGCGCUACUAUGGGCCCUAUUCCCUAUGUAGUGCGCUACUAUGGGCCCUAUUCCCUAUGUAGUGCGCUACUAUGGACCCUAUUCCCUAUGUAGUGCGCUACUAUGGGCCCUAUUCCCUAUGUAGUGCGCUACUAUGGGCCCUAUUCCCUAUGUAGUGCACUACUAUGGGCCCUAUUCCCUAUGUAGUGCGCUACUAUGGGCCCUAUUCCCUAUGUAGUGCGCUACUAUGGGCCCUAUUCCCUAUGUAGUGCGCUACUAUGGGCCCUAUUCCCUAUGUAGUGCACUAUAAUUGGAAUAAGGUGCCAUUAGGGAGACAAGCCAUCUCAGAACAUACGCUGUUAAACCAUUGAGUACAUAACUGUGCUGUUACAUAUUUAUAUAAUUUGUAAGUAUGCAUAUUAUAAUUAUUUUAUAUUUGUAUACAUGCACUAGUUUUUAAGUGUGCAUUUUUUCGGGACAUGAAUCAAACUGACAUGUAAAAAAGUUGAAAAAAAU
Salmo trutta (river trout) is the source of this 1927-nucleotide long non-coding RNA. The record is from Ensembl. NCBI's taxonomy places the organism in Eukaryota, Metazoa, Chordata, Actinopteri, Salmoniformes, Salmonidae.